GAUGAAGAACGUAGCGAAAUGCGAUACGUAAUGUGAAUUGCAAAUUCAGUGAAUCAUCGAGUCUUUGAACGCACAUUGCGCCCCCUGGUAUUCCGGGGGGCAUGCCUGUCCGAGCGUCAUUGCUGCCCUCAAGCACGGCUUGUGUGUUGGGCCCCGUCCUCCGAUCCCGGGGGACGGGCCCGAAAGGCAGCGGCGGCACCGCGUCCGGUCCUCGAGCGUAUGGGACUUUGUCACCCGCUCUGUAGGCCCGGCCGGCGCUUGCCGAUCAACCCAAAUUUUUAUCCAGGUUGACCUCGGAUCAGGUAGGGAUACCCGCUGAACUUAAGCAUAUCAAUAAGCGGAGGA
This 345-nucleotide unclassified non-coding RNA is filed under the name soil metagenome. RNAcentral's name for it is "partial contains 5.8S ribosomal RNA, internal transcribed spacer 2, and large subunit ribosomal RNA". The stretch from base 1 to 119 matches the Rfam family "5.8S ribosomal RNA", at positions 35 to 154 of the family's 154-position model. The record is from RNAcentral.